UGGGGAAUUUUGGACAAUGGGGGAAACCCUGAUCCAGCCAUCCCGCGUGUGCGAUGAAGGCCUUCGGGUUGUAAAGCACUUUUGGCAGGAAAGAAACGUCAUGGGUUAAUACCCCGUGAAACUGACGGUACCUGCAGAAUAAGCACCGGCUAACUACGUGCCAGCAGCCGCGGUAAUACGUAGGGUGCAAGCGUUAAUCGGAAUUACUGGGCGUAAAGCGUGCGCAGGCGGUUCGGAAAGAAAGAUGUGAAAUCCCAGAGCUCAACUUUGGAACUGCAUUUUUAACUACCGGGCUAGAGUGUGUCAGAGGGAGGUGGAAUUCCGCGUGUAGCAGUGAAAUGCGUAGAUAUGCGGAGGAACACCGAUGGUGAAGGCAGCCUCCUGGGAUAACACUGACGCUCAUGCACGAAAGCGUGGGGAGCAAACAGG
This 429-nucleotide ribosomal RNA is filed under the name Acidobacteriota bacterium. RNAcentral describes it as "Acidobacteria bacterium partial 16S ribosomal RNA". It matches the Rfam family "Bacterial small subunit ribosomal RNA", at positions 355 to 776 of the family's 1533-position model. The record is from RNAcentral. Lineage: Bacteria; Pseudomonadati; Acidobacteriota.